GAAGAAGAGAGGAAAGCAUCCAUGCUGUCAAAAAAGAAAAUCAUGAGCCGCCAUUUGGAUGCUUAUAAAAUAGAACCAGAAUUUAAAUCCAAAAUGAGCUGCUCUCUGGUUAGGGAAAAAGGUUUUAUUCUAAUGCUUUGGUAAAAUGAAUAAGGAAGUUAGUGACUAUCAAGUCAGUAAUGUCACAUUCAUUUAGUACCUGUUUCUAUUGGUUUCAUGCAA
RNAcentral lists this unclassified non-coding RNA (222 nucleotides) under Hevea brasiliensis (rubber tree). Lineage: Eukaryota; Viridiplantae; Streptophyta; Magnoliopsida; Malpighiales; Euphorbiaceae. The record is from RNAcentral.